Molecule: ribosomal RNA, 431 nt
Filed under: uncultured bacterium
Lineage: Bacteria
Description: partial 16S ribosomal RNA
Rfam family: Bacterial small subunit ribosomal RNA
Source: RNAcentral
AGCGAACGCUGGCGGCAGGCUUAACACAUGCAAGUCGAGCGCCCCGCAAGGGGAGCGGCCGACGGGUGAGUACCGCGUGGGAACGUACCUUUUGGUUCGGAACAACUCCGGGAAACUGGAGCUAAUACCGGAUAAGCCCUAACGGGGAAAGAUUUAUCGCCGAAAGAUCGGCCCGCGUCUGAUUAGCUAGUUGGUGAGGUAACGGCUCACCAAGGCGACGAUCAGUAGCUGGUCUGAGAGGAUGAUCAGCCACACUGGGACUGAGACACGGCCCAGACUCCUACGGGAGGCAGCAGUGGGGAAUAUUGGACAAUGGGCGCAAGCCUGAUCCAGCCAUGCCGCGUGAGUGAUGAAGGCCUUAGGGUUGUAAAGCUCUUUUGUCCGGGAAGAUAAUGACUGUACCGGAAGAAUAAGCCCCGGCUAACUUCGUG